This 447-nucleotide ribosomal RNA is filed under the name uncultured bacterium. RNAcentral describes it as "bacterial SSU rRNA". It matches the Rfam family "Bacterial small subunit ribosomal RNA", at positions 355 to 825 of the family's 1533-position model. The record is from RNAcentral.
UCGGGAAUUUUGGGCAAUGGGCGAAAGCCUGACCCAGCAACGCCGCGUGAAGGAUGAAGUAUUUCGGUAUGUAAACUUCGAAAGAAUAGGAAGAAUAAAUGACGGUACUAUUUAUAAGGUCCGGCUAACUACGUGCCAGCAGCCGCGGUAGUACGGGGGGUGCAAGCGUUAAUCGGAAUUAUUGGGCGUAAAGGGUGCGUAGGUUGUUUGAUAAGAUAUAUGUGAAAUACCUGGGCUCAACCUGGGAAGGUCAUAUAAGACUGUCAGACUCGAGUAUGGGAGAGGGUAGAGGAAUUUCCGGUGUAGCGGUGAAAUGCGUAGAUAUCGGAAGGAACAUCGGUGGCGAAGGCGUCUACCUGGCCUAAUACUGACACUGAGGCACGAAAGCGUGGGGAGCAAACAGGAUUAGAUACCCCGGUAGUCCCUGAGCGGGCUGGCAAGGCGCAU